Molecule: non-coding RNA, 557 nt
Organism: Doryrhamphus excisus (bluestripe pipefish)
Lineage: Eukaryota; Metazoa; Chordata; Actinopteri; Syngnathiformes; Syngnathidae
Source: RefSeq, a predicted model, not a curated record
CAGCAGUCCUCAAGUUCCUCAAGAUGGACUGUGGUGGUUGUUUUCUUCUCAUCAAGACUUCCUGUGCCAUGCAGGAAGUGACAACAUUGAAAUAACAUCUACUGACGUGUGAUUUCCUCGGCUAUGCUACAGCACGUGGACCUUGUGGACCUCACAAGUAACACAGGAAGAAGCAAUCCACUAACGGCCACAGAUCAACAGAUGAGGUCUCUCUCUCGGUGGGAGCAGCAGUCGCCGAUUAUUGAUGACCUCAUUAGAAUACCGCCUGUUCUGGCUCGCUUUGAAGGACUUCUCAGGACGACAACAACCACGAAACGAUGAUACGGAGCCAAAGAGGCGCUUCCUAACGGCCGGGAACGGAAGCUUUCAGUUCCUCCUUUUUCCAACGGUUUCCAACGGAAUAUCCAGUCGGUUAGUCGUCACAGACUGGUGUGUUUAACGAUGUUUAAUUAUAAGAUGUCACACUGUUGAUGCUUGAGCCACAGGUGCUGCCUCCAUCUUGGAAGAACAAAAGCCUCAUUGAGCAAUCAUGUGGCAUAAUUAAAGUGUCUCAUGAA